GCUGACGAGCGGCGGACGGGUGAGUAAUGCCUAGGGAACUGCCCAGUCGAGGGGGAUAACAGUUGGAAACGACUGCUAAUACCGCAUACGCCCUACGGGGGAAAAGAGGGGACCUUCGGGCCUUCUGCGAUUGGAUGUACCUAGGUGGGAUUAGCUAGUUGGUGAGGUAAUGGCUCACCAAGGCGACGAUCCCUAGCUGUUCUGAGAGGAUGAUCAGCCACACUGGGACUGAGACACGGCCCAGACUCCUACGGGAGGCAGCAGUGGGGAAUAUUGCACAAUGGGCGCAAGCCUGAUGCAGCCAUGCCGCGUGUGUGAAGAAGGCCUUCGGGUUGUAAAGCACUUUCAGCGAGGAGGAAAGCUUAAGCGUUAAUAGCGUUUAGGUGUGACGUUACUCGCAGAAGAAGGACCGGCUAACUUCGUGCCAGCAGCCGCGGUAAUACGAGGGGUCCAAGCGUUAAUCGGAAUUACUGGGCGUAAAGCGUACGCAGGCGGUUUGUUAAGCGAGAUGUGAAAGCCCCGGGCUCAACCUGGGAAUUGCAUUUCGAACUGGCAAACUAGAGUCUUGUAGAGGGGGGUAGAAUUUCAGGUGUAGCGGUGAAAUGCGUAGAGAUCUGAAGGAAUACCGGUGGCGAAGGCGGCCCCCUGGACAAAGACUGACGCUCAGGUACGAAAGCGUGGGGAGCAAACAGGAUUAGAUACCCUGGUAGUCCACGCCGUAAACGAUGUCUACUCGGAAUUUGGUGUCUUGAACACUGGGUUCCCAAGCUAACGCAUUAAGUAGACCGCCUGGGGAGUACGGCCGCAAGGUUAAAACUCAAAUGAAUUGACGGGGGCCCGCACAAGCGGUGGAGCAUGUGGUUUAAUUCGAUGCAACGCGAAGAACCUUACCUACUCUUGACAUCCAGAGAAUUCGCUAGAGAUAGCUUAGUGCCUUCGGGAGCUCUGAGACAGGUGCUGCAUGGCUGUCGUCAGCUCGUGUUGUGAAAUGUUGGGUUAAGUCCCGCAACGAGCGCAACCCUUAUCCUUAUUUGCCAGCACGU
This 1043-nucleotide ribosomal RNA is filed under the name Shewanella algidipiscicola. RNAcentral's name for it is "bacterial SSU rRNA". It matches the Rfam family "Bacterial small subunit ribosomal RNA", at positions 87 to 1126 of the family's 1533-position model. Lineage: Bacteria; Pseudomonadati; Pseudomonadota; Gammaproteobacteria; Alteromonadales; Shewanellaceae. The record is from RNAcentral.